This 330-nucleotide long non-coding RNA is filed under the name Mytilus galloprovincialis (Mediterranean mussel). The record is from RNAcentral. Lineage: Eukaryota; Metazoa; Mollusca; Bivalvia; Mytilida; Mytilidae.
UACCGCAAAUGGAAAAUCGUUUAAAUGGUCGUUUACAAAGUAUUUGAAGUGUUAAAUACUUUGAAGGUCUGCACUGUUUAAUUAAAGGUGUGCUAUUGUUGAUGGGCGGAUCUUUGGGUGAUAAUGAAGCAUUUGUGGCCUUUCAUUUACGCCAGAUUAAAGGUCUUUACAUGGAGAUAUGGGACUCUGAUGAAAAUCUCGACAACUUUAACAAAAGCCGUUUGACACCGAAUAAACUGCCUUGAUGAACCGAGAUCGCCAUAAACUGUAAUACAACAAAGACCACAAAGAACGAAAAUGUUAUAAUUUGAUUUCUUUUUUUCUUCACUU